This 559-nucleotide ribosomal RNA is filed under the name uncultured bacterium. Its description in RNAcentral is "bacterial SSU rRNA". It matches the Rfam family "Bacterial small subunit ribosomal RNA", at positions 777 to 1331 of the family's 1533-position model. The record is from RNAcentral.
AAUAGAUACCCGGGUAGUCCUGGCCCUAAACGAUGUCCACUAGAUUGCGGCGGGUUUGACCCCGUCGCGGUCGAAGCAAAAGUGUUAAGUGGACCGCCUGGGAAGUACGGUCGCAAGGCUAAAACUCAAAGGAAUUGACGGGGGCUCACACAAGCGGUGGAGCAUGUGGUUCAAUUCGAAGCAACGCGCAGAGCCUUACCUGGGUUUGACAUGACUGGAUUAUCCCGGUGAAAGCCGGGUAGGCCCCGCAAGGGGUACAACAGUUACAGGUGCUGCAUGGCUGUCGUCAGCUCGUGUCGUGAGAUGUCGGGUUAAGUCCCUUAACGAGCGAAACCUUUACCCUUAGUUACCAGCGGGUUAUGCCGGGGACUCUAAGGGGACCGCCGGUGUCAAACCGGAGGAAGGUGGAGAUGACGUCAAGUCCUCAUGGCCUUUAUGCCCAGGGCCACACACGUGCUACAAUGGCGUUCAUAAAGCGACCCUAAAGCGCGAGCUCAUGGAAAUCGCAAAAUACGCCCAGUUCAGAUCGGAGGCUGCAACUCGCCUCGUGAAGUUGGAA